Molecule: ribosomal RNA, 254 nt
Filed under: uncultured bacterium
Lineage: Bacteria
Description: partial 16S ribosomal RNA
Rfam family: Bacterial small subunit ribosomal RNA
Source: RNAcentral
UACGUAGGGUCCGAGCGUUGUCCGGAUUUAUUGGGCGUAAAGAGCUCGUAGGCGGUUUCGUAAGUCGGAUGUGAAAACUCAGGGCUCAACCCGGAGACGCCAUCUGAUACUGCGAUGACUUGAGUCUGGUAGGGGAUCACGGAAUUCCUGGUGUAGCGGUGAAAUGCGCAGAUAUCAGGAGGAACACCGAUGGCGAAGGCAGGUCUCUGGGCAUUAACUGACGCUGAGGAGCGAAAGCAUGGGGAGCGAACAGG